GGAUUAGGCAUCCAAGUCGAACGAGGAAGGUUUCGCAAGAGACCAAGUAAAGUGGCGGAAGGGCGAGUAAUGCAUGGAUAACCUACCUCUGAGAUGGGAAUGACUAUUCGAAAGGAUAGCUAAUACCCAAUAAGACCACGGGCUGCAUAGUCUGUGUUUAAAGAUAGGGACCCGCAAGGGCCUUUCGCUCAGUGAGGGGUUCAUGUCCUAUCAGCUUGUUGGUGGGGUAACGGCCCACCAAGGCUAUGACGGGUAGCCGACCUGAGAGGGUGACCGGCCGCACUGGGACUGAGACACUGCCCAGACUCCUACGGGAGGCUGCAGUCGAGGAUCUUCCGCAAUGCGCGAAAGCGUGACGGAGCGACGCCGCGUGGGUGAUGAAGGCCUUCGGGUUGUAAAGCCCUGUCACCUGGGAAGAAUGGCGGGAGGUGAAUAGCCAUCUCGUCUGACGCUACCAGGGGAGGAAGCACCGGCUAAAUACGUGCCAGCAGCCGCGGUAAUACGUAUGGUGCGAACGUUGUUCGGAAUCACUGGGCAUAAAGAGCACGUAGGCGGUUGAGCAGGUCCAUUGUGAAAUCCCCCGGCUUAACCGGGGAAUAGCAGUGGUUACUACUUGACUUGAGUACAGGAGGGGAGAGUGGAAUUCCAGGUGGAGCGGUGAAAUGCGUAGAUAUCUGGAGGAACGCCGGUGGCGAAAGCGACUCUCUGGUCUGUUACUGACGCUGAGGUGCGAAAGCUAGGGGAGCAAACGGGAUUAGAUACCCCGGUAGUCCUAGCCCUAAACGAUGGGCACUAAGUAGAGGGGUUUU
RNAcentral lists this ribosomal RNA (809 nucleotides) under uncultured Planctomycetota bacterium. RNAcentral describes it as "bacterial SSU rRNA". It matches the Rfam family "Bacterial small subunit ribosomal RNA", at positions 46 to 832 of the family's 1533-position model. Lineage: Bacteria; Pseudomonadati; Planctomycetota. The record is from RNAcentral.